This is a long non-coding RNA of Rosa chinensis, 540 nucleotides long. RefSeq lists it as uncharacterized. The transcript has 2 exons. The record is from RefSeq and is a predicted model, not a curated record. NCBI's taxonomy places the organism in Eukaryota, Viridiplantae, Streptophyta, Magnoliopsida, Rosales, Rosaceae.
UGAUUACAUAUGGCAUUUUUAAGAUAUGCUCCAUCAUUAAUGAAUUAUGAAUAGAAGGUUGUUACUAAAUGACUCUUUUUUCCUUUAAAUUUUUUUUUUUUUUCCGUUGCCAAUUUCUUUUUAAGUUUCAGGUGAUCUCAUAAUUCAAGUGAAGGGAAGUAGAUAUUUGCUUCACAAGGUCACACAUUGCAGCUUCAAGCAUUCUUCAAAUCUUGCAUACUCCAUGGCUGGAUGGACAAAAUUUCCACACUUACACUCUACAAAGCACGAAGCUGACAACCUUUCAGAUCAGUUCACACGAAUGAGCUUCGUGGUUGUUGUACAUAGUGUUAAAUGAACAUGUGAAAUUUUUUUUUCAAAUUGAAAACUUCAUUUGAUUAUGGGUAGUUGUUAGUUCACUUAGAACGACAGAAAUUGAUAACUGUUAUGCACCCCUAAAUGCAGUUAUUUUUGUCUAUACAAGUGGUUUCAUUUGUCAUAAUACCAAGUCCCACAGCAAAGCGCGGGUAAAUUUUCUAGUAAAUUUCUAUUCGUAUUGUA